GCGGGGAGCAUCCCAGCGCCGAACGGUCGCGUAACACGUAAGCAACCUGCCCCAAAGACCGGGACAACAUUCCGAAAGGAGUGCUAGUACCGGAUGUGCCCGUCUGUUGACAUCAUCGGACGAGUAAAUCAAGCAAUUGGCUUUGGGAGGGGCUUGCGGCCUAUCAGCUAGAUGGUGGGGUAACGGCCUACCAUGGCGACGACGGGUAGCUGGUCUGAGAGGAUGGUCAGCCGGAUUGGGACUGAGAUACGGCCCAGACUCCUACGGGGGGCAGCAAUUAGGAAUCUUGCACAAUGGGCGAAAGCCUGAUGCAGCGACGUCGCGUGGGGGA
This 331-nucleotide ribosomal RNA is filed under the name uncultured Gemmatimonas sp. RNAcentral's name for it is "bacterial SSU rRNA". It matches the Rfam family "Bacterial small subunit ribosomal RNA", at positions 80 to 408 of the family's 1533-position model. The record is from RNAcentral. Lineage: Bacteria; Pseudomonadati; Gemmatimonadota; Gemmatimonadia; Gemmatimonadales; Gemmatimonadaceae.